ACGAACGCUGGCGGCUUGCUUCACACAUGCAAGUCGAACGGAAAGGCCCUGCUUUUGUGGGGUGCUCGAGUGGCGAACGGGUGAGUAACACGUGAGUAACCUGCCCUUGACUUUGGGAUAACUUCAGGAAACUGGGGCUAAUACCGGAUAGGAGCUCCUGCUGCAUGGUGGGGGUUGGAAAGUUUCGGCGGUUGGAGAUGGACUCGCGGCUUAUCAGCUUGUUGGUGGGGUAGUGGCUUACCAAGGCUUUGACGGGUAGCCGGCCUGAGAGGGUGACCGGCCACAUUGGGACUGAGAUACGGCCCAGACUCCUACGGGAGGCAGCAGUGGGGAAUAUUGCACAAUGGGCGGAAGCCUGAUGCAGCAACGCCGCGUGCGGGAUGACGGCCUUCGGGUUGUAAACCGCUUUCGCCUGUGACGAAGCGUGAGUGACGGUAAUGGGUAAAGAAGCACCGGCUAACUACGUG
Molecule: ribosomal RNA, 467 nt
Filed under: uncultured bacterium
Lineage: Bacteria
Description: partial 16S ribosomal RNA
Rfam family: Bacterial small subunit ribosomal RNA
Source: RNAcentral